UGGAUCACCUCCUAACAGGGAGACAACAAAAUGUAAAUAUUAAUUUUGUCACCUUAGGUCGAUCGGUAUCUCAGAUUCUUAUUUUUUAAGAAUUUCAGUUUCUAAGUUUUUUCUAGGUCACACCCAUCACUUUUUCCUGGGCCAUUAGCUCAGGUGGUUAGAGCGCACCCCUGAUAAGGGUGAGGUCCCUGGUUCAAGUCCAGGAUGGCCCAUAUCUCUAUGUUGGGGGUAUAGCUCAGUUGGUAGAGCGCCUGCUUUGCAAGCAGGAUGUCAGCGGUUCGAGUCCGCUUACCUCCACUGAAUACCACCUCUUACAUAUAUACAGAUGGAAAUUGUUUUGAGUCGUGUCCUAAUUUGCUCUGAGCGAAUCUAGCUUCCUAUUUUAUCCCACAAAUAAGAUGCUGGACUCAUUGAAUUUUUUUCAUUGUUUUCAGAGAACCUUGACAACUGCAUAGAUUAUUUUUGAAGACAAUAAGCAUCUUUAAUGAUGCAGAUUUAUUAUUUGUGCGAAUGCAUUAAAUAACAAUUCUAUUAAGCUGAUGCUUCAAUUAUUGAAGUUAUUGGUCAAGCUACAAAGGGCUCACGGAGGAUACCUAGGCACACAGAGGCGAUGAAGG
This 617-nucleotide transfer RNA is filed under the name uncultured Prochlorococcus sp. Its description in RNAcentral is "partial contains 16S ribosomal RNA, 16S-23S ribosomal RNA intergenic spacer, and 23S ribosomal RNA". The stretch from base 225 to 297 matches the Rfam family "tRNA". The record is from RNAcentral. Lineage: Bacteria; Bacillati; Cyanobacteriota; Cyanophyceae; Synechococcales; Prochlorococcaceae.